UAGGGGCACAGAGUUGCAGUUGAUUGAAACUAAAUCAUGUGCGCUAAGUUGUCCCGAAAUCAUAUUCGGAUGAUAAGAAAACAGUGUUCGUUUCAUGGAACACCGUUGAUAAACUAUUCGAACACUU
This 127-nucleotide small nucleolar RNA is filed under the name Caenorhabditis remanei. Its description in RNAcentral is "Caenorhabditis snoRNA ceN45". It matches the Rfam family "Caenorhabditis snoRNA ceN45". The record is from Rfam by way of RNAcentral. Lineage: Eukaryota; Metazoa; Nematoda; Chromadorea; Rhabditida; Rhabditidae.